RNAcentral lists this long non-coding RNA (203 nucleotides) under Panax ginseng (ginseng). RNAcentral's name for it is "long non-coding RNA (PGIN_LNC014359)". The record is from RNAcentral. Lineage: Eukaryota; Viridiplantae; Streptophyta; Magnoliopsida; Apiales; Araliaceae.
UUCUUAUUCCAAGAAUUAUUGAUAUUCAUUAUUCAUGAUAUUAUUCUGAAACUCUGAACUAUCUUAGAUAUGAUACUUCGAUAUUUUAAACUCGUGUUAUGAAACUCUUUACCCUUGUUGUAUAUUACUUGCUGGGCAAUUUUUGCUCAUCCUUGCUUAUUUAAAACCUGUCAGUUAAGUUGGAACAGGGAGGUGUCUCUAGA